AAGUCUUUCAAUAUCGUCACAUAGAUCAGCAUUCGAUCCUCCUCUAGAGGGAACAGAUAAAAUCCAGAAAUCACUUUUCGACAUCGUCAAACAAUCUAUGCUAAUGUGGUACUUUCACCAAUGUGUUUCGUUAUCAAAAGACACUAAAAAAACGAGUGAAAAUUAAUAGUGAUCCAAAAAUACAAUAGGAACUCCAGAAUUCACACUUCCAAGGAACAAGAUUGGGAAAGGAAGUAGAGGGGUCUGACAACGAGUGUAAGCGAUAGACACCAGAAAGCCAAGGUAGAACAGAUGCUGAGGAAUGAAUAACGAUGAGAGGAAUUAGAUGUGGAGGGAAAAGGUGAGCAUUAGAUGCUUCUUUUCAAAAACAAAAUUCAGACGAUACUUUUUGUUGAUGAGAAUCUAUAUAGAGGACGAUGCUUUGAUAUUUCCUUUGGCU
Non-coding RNA from Schizosaccharomyces pombe (fission yeast), 439 nucleotides. NCBI's taxonomy places the organism in Eukaryota, Fungi, Ascomycota, Schizosaccharomycetes, Schizosaccharomycetales, Schizosaccharomycetaceae. The record is from the annotation of a GenBank genome assembly.